AGCUAAUGUUGAUGGAUACAGUCCUAUUUAUAACCCUGAUGAAUGGUCCCCAAGUGGCGAUGUCUAUGUUGGCGAUUUGGGAGGAAGAAGGGGCGUAGAUCAAGGUGGUUUGUGGCGGGAGAGGUGAAGAGGGAGAGAGAAGAUAUUUUAUUAAUGAUCUUCAUUUUUUCCGGCAAAGAAGCUGUAGAUGAUUUCCAUUUUUUUUUUAUAAAUAAGGCAUCUUCAUUUUUUUGAUAAAAGAUUGUGAAUGGCAAU
This 255-nucleotide unclassified non-coding RNA is filed under the name Hevea brasiliensis (rubber tree). Lineage: Eukaryota; Viridiplantae; Streptophyta; Magnoliopsida; Malpighiales; Euphorbiaceae. The record is from RNAcentral.